Neofelis nebulosa (Clouded leopard) is the source of this 3172-nucleotide long non-coding RNA. RefSeq lists it as uncharacterized. Lineage: Eukaryota; Metazoa; Chordata; Mammalia; Carnivora; Felidae. The transcript is spliced from 6 exons. The record is from RefSeq and is a predicted model, not a curated record.
CUAACCUCUUUUUUUUUUUUUUUUCUUCCCCUCCACAUGGGUUUCUGUUAAGUUUCUCAGGAUGCAACUUUCAAGUAUACAAUGGAGUUUUGUUAAUUAACUAUAGGCACUAUGCUAUACACUGCACCCCAGGAUGUAGUCAUCUUAUAACUGGAAGUUUGCAUGCUUUGACCAACAUCUCCUUAGUCGGCCGGCUCCUCCCUCUUCCCCCCAGUCCCUGGCAAUCACCACUCUACUCUCUGUUUCCAUGAGUUCAGCUUUUUUGGAUUCCACGUGUAAGUGCCAGCAUAUAGUGUUUGUCUUUCUCUGUCUGACUUAUUUCACUUAGCAUAAUGGGCUCAGGGUCCAUCCAUGUUGCAAAUGGCAGGAUAUCCUCCUUUCUCGUGGCUGAAUUAUAUUCCACUGUAUAUGUAUACCAGGUUUUGUUUUUUUUUAAUCCAUUCAUCCACUGAUGGGCACUUUGGUUAUUUCCAUAUGUUGGCUAUUUUGAAUAAUGCCGCAAUGGAUCCAGGGGUGCAGAUAUCUCUUUGAGAUCCGGAUUUCAUUCCUUUUGGAUGGAUACCCUAUAUGGGUUAUUUCUGUCCUUCUAAAUCUUCACUGUACUUGAAUAUCCCUGAUCAAAUGUCACUUUUGCUAUGAAUACUUCCCAGUUUUACCAGUCACAAGUAGUUUCUUUUUCUGCUGAUUUCCAUUGCUCUCCCAGUUCCUUGACAAAGGUACAAAAAGCCUACAUGUCUCUUCCCUAAAAGAUUGCACUCUGCUGUUGUCAUGAGAGUGUAAUCAUUGUUGUGUUAUUUUAAUCUUUGCACCCUUUGUUAACCCUGUGGUCAAAAAUUAUUACUUAACUACAAAGCUAUUUUAACUGAGGUCUAGAUUAUUUGAAAUAAAUUAAUAUCUUACCCUGUCAUCCUUUUGACAUAUUUGCAUUUCAACAGGAACUUUCUGGAGAAACACAAUGCUGAACUUACAAGAUUUGAGGGUGGCCAUUUAAGGUACGAAGCCAGAAUUUCUGCCCGUGGAGUUUCUCUGAAGAAGGUGACUGGUUUCAAGAGCCGGGCAGUGUUUUCAAAUGACAGUUCAGCCCCUUUGAGAGUGACAUCAUGGCAAGAGUGAUGGUAUUAACUCCAGUGUUUGUACCAGAGGAUGACAGGGACUCAGAUGCCUGGAAAGAAUGGCCCGCGUACCAGCUGGGGUUGCCACCCUGGAACCACGAUGCUUAGCCUUUCUUCUGUUACGAGACUGUUGAGACUGUUGGAGUCUCAAGGCUACGAGGGGCGUGGUUUUAGCCUUAUUUUAAAUGGUCAUGGGAACAGGAUUGAGAGGUUUUAGCAUGGAACACCAAGGAAUCUGAGAAGCCUGCAUUGAAACCCGGCCUCUGGAACAUGAUGGAAAGAGGAGAGGAGGAGAUUAUAUAUUGAGCAAUACGUGAGCUUGGUUUGUAACUUCUAAGUAUUUAUGUGGCAUCUCCGUUUGGACUCUCCCCAGCCUACAAAUGCUCUGGGCAGGCCUCCCGAGCUGUGUGGAGUCCUGGCUCCCUUUGCAUUGAUUUAAGAUUGAGUGAAGGCCCUGGAGCAUUCCCUCCAUCAUUGAAACAGAGGGGCCCCCAAGAGAGAACCAGGAACUCCUGGUGGUGCAGUAAGCCAUGUUCCUUCCCCAUCGUUGUAUUUGUGCUUGCUUUCCCCAAGGUCAUUAACAGGAUUAACGGUAGAGGGUUUGUGAACAAGAUUAAUGCCCCAUAACAAGGGUUUAGAUAAAUCAAUCAAGUACAUACAUCCAAUGCUAUACUCUGUACCUAUGAAAACAUUUUAGAUAAAUAAUUGGAAUAACAAUCCUAUAAGUACUAAUAAUCAUAACAAUGACAGAUCUUCCUCCUUGAGCACUGGGUCUCUGUCCGUCAGCAUGUGCAGCAGCUCAAACUCACCAUCUCACUCAGGCCCCCAAACCACAAGGUGGGUUCUUAGUUCCAGGCAUCAGCAAGGAAACUGAGCUUGGGAGGAUUUGGUUAUACAAGGGUAUGUGGAUUAGGGAGUCGCUCUCUGAGUCUUUUGGACUGGGCCACAGUUUCUCCACAGGGCGGAGGUGGCAUCUUCCAGAAUCACAGGGCCCCCCCCCCUUUCCUUAGGAGAAGGGAAACCAGAGCUCCCUUUUUUAUUGAGGUAUGAUUGGCAUACAAUGUCGUGUAAGUUUAAGGAGCAUAAAGAUGUUGGUUUGACACAUUUACAUAGUACAGUAUGAUUACCGCCUGGUAUCACCUGUGCCAUUGCUUUUUUGUGGUGAGAACAUUUACAACCUAACCUUCUAGCAACUUUGAGGUAUAAAAUCAGUAUUGUUGAGUGCAAUCACUCCGCUUUGCAUUAAGUCUCCAGAAUUUAUCCAUCUGCUACGUGCACGUUUGUAUCAUUAGACAACAUCUCCUCAGUUGCCCGAGCCCCAGCUCCUGGCCACUACUAUUUUACGGUCUGUGUCUAUGAAGUCAGCUCGUUCAGACUCCACGAUGAAAUAGGAAUAAUAAUAAUACAACAAUACAACAAUAUGGAAUAUUCCUACUUGUUCACUCUCUCGAUAAGUUCUUAUUUUUCUUUUCCUCUUCUCUGGAUGCUGGUUGUCAGCUAUUGUGUUCCCUGUGGGGUCCAGGAGGUGGGGUUCCUGGCAUGUCUGUUCUUCUUCCCAAGAAGGUUCUCUGGCACGUUCAAGGUGGAAUGAUUUCAAGUCAACUUAAUUGUCCCCAUUUUCAUCUUAGUAGACAUCCACUCCAGGUGCUGCAUUUGGCACUGAGUGGAAGAGUGACGUUCAGAUGGUAGUAAGGGGAUCGUCUGGCCGUUGGAUUGUUCUGCGUGAAAGCAGACCUAUUGGAAGGUCUUUCUGUAAGUAGCUAAUACACAUAAACUGUGAAACAGAACAAAAAGACAUAAUGGACUAAAAAUAGAUAAUAAAUAAAGGAAAAUACAACAGACAAAAGAGAAAACAUCCAACUUCCAACUAGACAGAGAUAUAGGCCCUACUAAAUUUUUGGGGUACGGUUUUGAAAGGCCCAUUAGUAAAUGCUCAGGGUAUGGAUCCAGGUUUCCUGGAUUCGAACCCUCUUUAUCCUGCUUGUCAGCUUGGGACCCUGGACUAGUUAACUUGCCUCAGUGUCCUCAUCUGUAAAAUGGAGAUAAUACAAGGACCUCUA